RNAcentral lists this long non-coding RNA (606 nucleotides) under Homo sapiens (human). RNAcentral describes it as "non-protein coding lnc-SERPIND1-1:50". The record is from RNAcentral. Lineage: Eukaryota; Metazoa; Chordata; Mammalia; Primates; Hominidae.
CUCAUUGCCUCCCCGUCCCUGUCUCCCCUGACACUCGUUCCUCCAGAAGCCCGGUAAACCCCGUCCUUACGAGCCCCGCCCCUAGCUCUUCUACUACGGAGGGGAACUGCAGAGCCAGAAGAGCACGGAGCAGCAACUCGCAGCCCAAUUGGUGACGCUGCAGAAUGAACUGGAGCUGGCGGAGACCAAAUGCGCCUUGCAGGAGGAGAAGCUGCAGCAGGACGCGCUGCAGACAGCGGAGGCCUGGGCCAUAUUCCAGGAGCAGACCGUAGUCCUGCAGGUGCGGCCCCACUCAGACGCCAAGGUGCCUCCCGCCUCUCCUCCCCCAGACCUGGGGCGGUGUGACGGGCAGCUUCGCAGAGUGCAGUACAGCACCGAGUCGCUCAUGGAGGAGAUGGCCAGGGCGGACCGAGUGAGCGCCUGCGCGGGUCCGGGCGGGGUGGGCUGGAGCGGGACACCCCUCCCCAUCCCCCCCGCGGUACCGCCUCCCCCUCCUCCUGGAAACCGGGCCGGCGCCGCGGGCGCGGAGGUAGCUGGAUGCGGCCCUCUCUCCCCGCAGGAGACGCGGCUGUUCGGCGGUCCUCGCGCGCUGGCCAUCAGGUGAGC